RNAcentral lists this transfer RNA (72 nucleotides) under Erinaceus europaeus (western European hedgehog). It matches the Rfam family "tRNA". Rfam says of the family: Transfer RNA (tRNA) molecules are approximately 80 nucleotides in length. Their secondary structure includes four short double-helical elements and three loops (D, anti-codon, and T loops). The record is from Rfam by way of RNAcentral. Lineage: Eukaryota; Metazoa; Chordata; Mammalia; Eulipotyphla; Erinaceidae.
AGGGAGGUGGUUCAGUGGCAAAGCACACACCUUGCAUGUGUGAGGCUCUGGGUUUGAUUCCUAGCAUCCUUG